Ananas comosus (pineapple) is the source of this 1198-nucleotide long non-coding RNA. RefSeq lists it as uncharacterized. The record is from RefSeq and is a predicted model, not a curated record. NCBI's taxonomy places the organism in Eukaryota, Viridiplantae, Streptophyta, Magnoliopsida, Poales, Bromeliaceae. The transcript is spliced from 9 exons.
AGUCCAUUCCUUUUCUCCUUUCAUCUCUUUUCUCAUCCUCUUUCUCUCUAAGUAAGGAAGGUUGAGGAGUUUGGUGCUGGCUGAUUGGAGUUGCUGCUGGCUGAUGAAGAGAACUGAACUAAGCAAGAAAUCUGAGUUGAUUGGAGCUGCGAAAUUACCUGGAAUAGCUUCUAAUCAAGCCUAGAGGUUGUAGGCUGAAGUAAAGAAAGCUGGGAGAACUGAGGGCUGAGCAAAUUCUGAGAAUUUGAGUGGAAGAAAUUCUUGAUGCUUGACCUAGGAUUAACCUGGUGGAAUACCUAGGUUAAGGUUCGAGCUGAGGGAAACUAUCUAGUAAGGAGUUCUUGCUAUAGCUGCUAUGACAAUGUUGAAUUGGACCACUAAGCACUGAGCAAUUUGAUUUAACUCUGGAUUAAGCCUGGGUGUUUUCAGACUCGGAAAAGUGGUCGACCACCAACCGGGUACCAUUGGUGCUGAAGUAAACCAUUGAAAUGGAAUUUUUAGCAGAGAGGACUUGAGUGAAGUUGCUGAAUUGGAAUUACAGCUGAAGAAAAUUUGGGAGAAGCUUAAAUCUGGAAUUGCAAGAAGUUGAUGUUGUUGGUGCUGCUGUGCUGCCGAAAUGCACGGGUGACCCAUUUCAUGCAGUGAGCAAGCUAAAUUAGCAUUAAGUUAAAAUCUGGAGCUGAAAUUGCAAUUAUGGUGGAAUUUCUUUGAUGUAUUCAGUGGAGAGUAGAUUUCGAAAGCUGAGAUCACCCUGGUAGAAUACCUAAUUAAGUUAAGGAACUUGCCACCAGAAACUGCUACUUGUAGAACCUUCGGUGUCCUGGACUGAAAAGAGAAAUUAGAGGAGUUUGAGCUCAAUUGCAAGGAAGUCGACGACGCGCCAAUUACGGUAGAGGCCGUUCUAGUUCUAUUUGCGCUGGGUCGCGAGAGAUAGUUGUCGACGCAUCUCGAGACAUGGAUCUUAGUUGUUGACACCACUACAGGUUCCAGUUCGAGCGUUGUGGCCGAGGAUCGGGGCAAGAGCCAGCAGCCUAGCUAGUUGACACCCGAGUACUAGUGGUAUACCAUUUUGGGUUCAUGUGUCAUCUAUUUGGUUGUACAGAGACAUGUAAAUGAAUGUAUUAAGAACAUGUAAACAGUUAAAAGCUUCAGUUAUGUAAUUUAAGUUAAAGUUUUAAAUUACAGUGAAUUUCAUGUU